AGUUUUCGGUACUUUUGUACGCUCACGUACAGGCUGCCGGGAAUACUGCAAAGCUAGGGAGUGGGAGAGGUAGACGGUACUCGGUAGGAAGGGGUAAAAUCCUUUUGAUCUAUUGAUGACCACCUGUGGCGAAGGCGGUCUACCAGAACACGUCCGACGGUGAGGGAUGAAAGCUGGGGGAGCAAACCGGAUUAGAUACCCGGGUAGUCCCAGCUGUAAACCAUGCAAACUCAGUGAUGCAUUGGCUUGUGGCCAAUGCAGUGCUGCAGGGAAGCCGUUAAGUUUGCCGCCUGGGAAGUACGUACGCAAGUAUGAAACUUAAAGGAAUUGGCGGGGGAGCACCACAAGGGGUGAAGCCUGCGGUUCAAUUGGAGUCAACGCCAGAAAUCUUACCCGGAGAGACAGCAGAAUGAAGGUCAAGCUGAAGACUUUACCAGACAAGCUGAGAGGUGGUGCAUGGCCGUCGCCAGCUCGUGCCGUGAGAUGUCCUGUUAAGUCAGGUAACGAGCGAGAUCCCUGCCUCUAGUUGCCACCAUUACUCUCAGGAGUAGUGGGGCGAAUUAGCGGGACCGCCGCAUUUAUUGCGGGAGGAAGGAAGGGGCCACGGCAGGUCAGUAUGCCCCGAAACUCUGGGGCCACACGCGGGCUGCAAUGGUAACGACAAUUGGUUUCGAAUCCGAAAGGAUGAGGUAAUCCUCAAACGUUACCACAGUUAUGACUGAGGGCUGCAACUCGCCCUCACGAAUAUGGAAUCCCUAGUAACUGCGUGUCAUUAUCGCGCGGUGAAUACGUCCCUGCUCCUUGCAC
RNAcentral lists this ribosomal RNA (807 nucleotides) under uncultured archaeon. RNAcentral describes it as "bacterial SSU rRNA". It matches the Rfam family "Archaeal small subunit ribosomal RNA", at positions 536 to 1342 of the family's 1478-position model. The record is from RNAcentral.